CCCUUAGAUGUUCUGGGCUGCACCCGUGCUACACUGGCAGGUUCAGCGAGCUUCAUGCCCUGAUCUGAAAGGAAUGGGAAAUCUUUUCAAAACCUGCCGUGCUUGGGAUAGAUGUUUGCAAUUAUUCAUCUUCAACGAGGAUUGCCUUGUAAGCGCACGUCAUCAGCGUGCAUUGAAUACGACCCUGUAUUCUGUACACACCGCCCGUCGCUCCUACCGAUUGAAGUUUUCGGUGAGUUGACAGGAGGAUUUUUUUGAAACUGGUUCGCCAGUGGAUUUUAGAUCCAAAUGCCAACGAAUCGAUGGCUUUAGAGGAAGUAGAAGUCGUAACA
Molecule: ribosomal RNA, 332 nt
Filed under: uncultured eukaryote
Lineage: Eukaryota
Description: partial 18S ribosomal RNA
Rfam family: Eukaryotic small subunit ribosomal RNA
Source: RNAcentral